GUGGAGAUUUAUUAGGCAACUCACCAUCCAGGGCCAAGCGGGAGGGUCCUGCUGUGGCUGGCGGCGCUGCGAGGCCAGUCGCCCGGUCAGACCUGUACGGGUCAUGUGACGACCACGAAAUAACCCGCCGGGCGUUGGUCGUCCGUGAAAGAGCCCACCGGGUGCUGGUCGUCCGAAGUGGAAGGGCAAGCGUUGCCGCGGACGGAAGAUCCUCCUCGGGUCCACGUAGUAGGCGUCUUCGUCGUCGAAGAAGAGCUUCCCCAUCCUCGUGGCUCCCUGGCGGGACUCGGCGUUUUCGUGCCGGACACCGCAGACUGCACGGCGGGACGGAGGUAUUUUCAGGAGACGCGUCCAGACACACGGUUCCCAUGGAGAGCAUUCCUGUAUAGAGCACCUGCACCAAUCGGGAGGUAAACGGAUUCGCUGGGACCACCUCUACAGCCAUCGUGGUGUUGUAAUUGCACAAUCUGGUGCUUCGAACUAAACUGAAGAAACACGUGUGAUAUAAUAAAGCAAACAACUCUUUGUAGGUACCAUGUCAAUGGUCGGGACGUUUCGCCAGGGCAAAGGUAAUUAGCUGGACGCAUAUGCCAUCGAAUAGUGAAAGUGCGGUGGUAAGUUAUGC
Ixodes scapularis (black-legged tick) is the source of this 625-nucleotide long non-coding RNA. RefSeq lists it as uncharacterized. The transcript has 3 exons. Lineage: Eukaryota; Metazoa; Arthropoda; Arachnida; Ixodida; Ixodidae. The record is from RefSeq and is a predicted model, not a curated record.